GACGAACGCUGGCGGCGUGCUUAACACAUGCAAGUCGAACGAAGAGCGACGGAAGCUUGCUUCUAUCAAUCUUAGUGGCGAACGGGUGAGUAACGCGUAAUCAACCUGCCCUUCAGAGGGGGACAACAGUUGGAAACGACUGCUAAUACCGCAUACGAUCUAAUCUCGGCAUCGAGGAUAGAUGAAAGGUGGCCUCUACAUGUAAGCUAUCACUGAAGGAGGGGAUUGCGUCUGAUUAGCUAGUUGGAGGGGUAACGGCCCACCAAGGCGAUGAUCAGUAGCCGGUCUGAGAGGAUGAACGGCCACAUUGGGACUGAGACACGGCCCAGACUCCUACGGGAGGCAGCAGUGGGGAAUCUUCCGCAAUGGACGAAAGUCUGACGGAGCAACGCCGCGUGAGUGAUGACGGCCUUCGGGUUGUAAAGCUCUGUUAAUCGGGACGAAAGGCCUUCUUGCGAAUAG
Molecule: ribosomal RNA, 462 nt
Filed under: Veillonella parvula
Lineage: Bacteria; Bacillati; Bacillota; Negativicutes; Veillonellales; Veillonellaceae
Description: bacterial SSU rRNA
Rfam family: Bacterial small subunit ribosomal RNA
Source: RNAcentral